UGCGUAGGCGGAACUUUAAGUCAGUGGUGAAAUCCUGCGGCUCAACCGUAGAACUGCCAUUGAUACUGAUGUUCUUGAAUGCAGUUGAGGUAGGCGGAAUGUGUAAUGUAGCGGUGAAAUGCUUAGAUAUUACACAGAACACCGAUUGCGAAGGCAGCUUGCUAAACUGUGAUUGUCGCUGAUGCACGAAAGCGUGGGGAGCGAACAGGAUUAGAUACCCUGGUAGUCC
RNAcentral lists this ribosomal RNA (229 nucleotides) under uncultured bacterium. Its description in RNAcentral is "partial 16S ribosomal RNA". It matches the Rfam family "Bacterial small subunit ribosomal RNA", at positions 568 to 796 of the family's 1533-position model. The record is from RNAcentral.